AUUGAACGCUGGCGGCAUGCUUUACACAUGCAAGUCGAACGCGAAAGGGGGCAACCCUGAGUAGAGUGGCGCACGGGUGAGUAAUGCAUCGGAACGUGUCCUGUAGCGGGGGAUAACCUAGCGACAGCUAGGCUAAUACCGCAUACGCCCUGAGGGGGAAAGUGGGGGAUCGCAAGACCUCACACUAUAGGAGCGGCCGAUGCCGGAUUAGCUAGUUGGUGGGGUAAAAGCUCACCAAGGCGACGAUCCGUAGCUGGUCUGAGAGGAUGAUCAGCCACACUGGGACUGAGACACGGCCCAGACUCCUACGGGAGGCAGCAGUGGGGAAUUUUGGACAAUGGGGGCAACCCUGAUCCAGCCAUGCCGCGUGAGUGAAGAAGGCCUUCGGGUUGUAAAGCUCUUUCGGCCGGGACGAAAUCGCAUAGGUGAAUAUCCUGUGUGGAUGACGGUACCGGAAUAAGAAGCACCGGCUAACUACGUGCCAGCCGCCGCGGUAA
RNAcentral lists this ribosomal RNA (497 nucleotides) under uncultured bacterium. RNAcentral's name for it is "partial 16S ribosomal RNA". It matches the Rfam family "Bacterial small subunit ribosomal RNA", at positions 29 to 523 of the family's 1533-position model. The record is from RNAcentral.